RNAcentral lists this ribosomal RNA (520 nucleotides) under uncultured marine bacterium. RNAcentral's name for it is "bacterial SSU rRNA". It matches the Rfam family "Bacterial small subunit ribosomal RNA", at positions 966 to 1496 of the family's 1533-position model. The record is from RNAcentral.
UACCAAACUCUUGACAUGUUCGUCGCGACUCGUAGAGAUAUGAGUCUUCGGUUCGGCCGGACGAAACACAGGGUGCUGCAUGGCUGUCGUCAGCUUCGUGUCGUGAGAUGUUGGGUUAAGUNCCCGCAACGAGCGCAACCCCUACGUUUAGUUACUAACAUUUAGUUGAGUACUCUAAACGAACUGCCAGUGAUAAGCUGGAGGAAGGUGGGGAUGACGUCAAGUCCUCAUGGCCCUUACGAGUUGGGCUACACACGUGCUACAAUGGUACUUACAAUAAGAUGCAAAGAGGCAACUCUAAGCCAAUCUUAAAAAUGUAUCUCAGUUCGGAUUGCACUCUGCAACUCGAGUGCAUGAAGCUGGAAUUGCUAGUAAUCGCGGAUCAGCGCGCCGCGGUGAAUACGUUCCCGGGUCUUGUACACACCGCCCGUCACACCAUGGAAGUUGGUUACACCUUAAGGCAAAGCGUAAAACCUUUGACUACGGUACGAUCAGCAACUGGGGUGAAGUCGUAACAAGG